GUCGGAGUGGCGGAACUGGUAGACGCGCUAGGUUGAGGGCCUAGUGGGAGAGCAUCCCGUGGAGGUUCGAGUCCUCUCUCCGACA
This 85-nucleotide transfer RNA is filed under the name Acidimicrobiia bacterium. RNAcentral describes it as "tRNA-Leu". It matches the Rfam family "tRNA". Rfam says of the family: Transfer RNA (tRNA) molecules are approximately 80 nucleotides in length. The record is from RNAcentral. Lineage: Bacteria; Bacillati; Actinomycetota; Acidimicrobiia.